This 24-nucleotide non-coding RNA is filed under the name Cricetulus griseus (Chinese hamster). Lineage: Eukaryota; Metazoa; Chordata; Mammalia; Rodentia; Cricetidae. The record is from RNAcentral.
GUGGAACCCAGUCAGACGACGGGC